RNAcentral lists this long non-coding RNA (2298 nucleotides) under Piliocolobus tephrosceles (Ugandan red Colobus). RNAcentral's name for it is "lncRNA (ENSPTEG00000007384.1)". Lineage: Eukaryota; Metazoa; Chordata; Mammalia; Primates; Cercopithecidae. The record is from RNAcentral.
AGAAAACUGUGAUACUUAUCGAAAUCAAGUAUCGGUAUUUUACAAUGGCAAUAAUAAUUCUAGUGAUCCUAUACCAAAAUAUUAUUAUUAUAAUAAUAACAAGGGCAUUAAUAAUAAUAAUGAUAACAAAAUAGUUUAUCACAAAGAUAUAACAACACCAAACAAUUUAAAUCCUUCUUUGAUCCAUAUAGAUAAAAUAAGUAAAAAACAAAGUUGUUUAGAUGCUAUACCAUGUCUUAAUGUUAACUCUGAGAUAAAUAAAAACAUAAGUAAUGAAAAAAUAAAAUUUAUUAAUUACGAACCAGUUCCACAAAAAAAUAUAAAUAAUGCACCACAUGAAUAUUAUAUUAAAAAACCUAUACAUCCACCCACUAAAUAUUUUGAAACUGAUUAUAAAGAUAAAAGUAUGGUACCUAUAUUAGUAGAUAAACCUUUUUUUCAAAAUAAACAACACAUACAACCUAAUAACAGUGGUUGGAAUUAUGAAAAGAAUACAAUGCCCAAUGAAGGGAACCAAGGGAAAGUAAUAACAAAAAAAACAAUAAAAAUUAAAAAUAAUAUAGAUGAAUUAAUUAAAGAAAAAGAUAAACAUAUUUUGGAACUAGAAAAAGAUUUAAGCAUAGAAAAAAAAGAAAAUGAAAUAAAAUGUGAGCAUUUCGAUAAUGUGACUCAUCAUAGUAAUAGUCAUCAAGACCCAAAUGUCGCAGAGGAUAAUAACGUUUUACAGAAAAAGUUGUUAAACCAAAAAAUAAAAUACGAGGAAACAUUAAAACAUUUAAAAAAAAUAGAAACAGAAAAAAGGAAUUUAAAAUCUAACUUGAUUGUGAGAGACAAAGUAUUAUCGAAAUUAGAAAACGAAAUAGGUUUGGUUGAUAAUGAAAAUGAUUACCUACGUAAAAUAAAAACCGACCAUAGUUUAAAUGAUAUACACAGUGUUUUUAAAUAUUGGCAUAAAAAAAAGGAUAAGGCAAAAAUGGAGUUAAAUACAAAUGAGAAAAAAAAGCAAAAUCAAUAUCAAAAUAAUUACAAUAAUAGAGACAACAACAGUAAUAACAUAAACAAAAUUUGCAAACUUGAUAAACAAAAAAAUGACCUUAAUUGCCUGUACGAAGCAAGUUCCUAUGAAGGAUCGAGCUCGACUAACAAUGACGAAGCGAUAAGUGACGAUAAUACAGAUAAGAACAAUAAAAAAAAUAAAAAAAAAAAAAAAAAUAAUAAAGCAAUAAAAACUAAUUUAGACAAGAAUGAUAUAUAUUCAUUAAAGUCCAUUAUUGUAAAAUUAGAAAAAGAAUUAGAAGAAAUAAAAGAAGAAAAUAUAAAUAUUAACUUUAAAUAUGAAAAUACAUUUCAAACAUUAAGCGAAUUAAGGAAAGACACUUUGGAAUAUAUGGAAUCAAUUGUUUCACGUGACAUGAGAAUAGGAUAUAUGGAAAGUAUGUUACAAAAAAGUGAAAAGGAUUUAUCUAAAUUAAAAAGUUUAUAUAAAAAUGAACAAAAAAUAAAUAAAGAAGCAGUUGAAAAACUAAUAUCUGAAAUAAAAAUUUUAAAAAAACAAUCUGACUAUUUUCAAUCAACUAUACAAGAAAAAGACGCACAGAAUGUGUUGCUGAAAAGUGACAUAGUACGUAAUGAAAUUUUAAUUAGUCAGUUUGAAGAACGAAAUAAAGAAUUGCAAAAUGAAUUAAAACUGAUGUGUACUAAUUUGGAAAAUGUUAUUGAUGUAUCAAAUAAAAAAGAUAUUUUUAUGAAUGAAUUAGAAAAACAACUAAGGGAAAACGAAGUUAAUAGGCAAAAUGCAUAUCUUAAUGAAGUUGCAAACAGUAGAAAAGCACACACGAAUCUGCAAUUUAAAGAAAUGUUAUAUGAAAAGUCGGCACAAAAUGAUUUGAACGAAUUACAUAAUUUAAAAAAAGAAUUAUAUUUAAAUAAAAUACAUAUGGAAAAAGCAAAACAUGCUUUCGAAAUACUUAAAAAUGCCCCAAAAGCUGACAUAACAAUGAUCAAAACAAAUAAAAAUACAAAACCGAACGCUAACGAUGCGCAAAGUUACAGUAACAUUACUCACAAUUUUUCGGAUGAUAAUAAUCAUGACCAAAACUUUGAAAAUAAUACGGUUAAUGAGCAAACGUCUGCUUAUGUUAAAAAAGUUGAUCAAAGUGAAAAAGGGGUUAUCUAUGACAAAAUGGGACCAGCUACGACGACUAAACCAAAUGUAGCGAAAAAGCGAAAUAGCGAAAUAGCGAAAAAGCGAAAUAGCCAAAUAGCCAAAUAGCCAAAUAGCCAAAUAGCGAAAUAGCC